This 169-nucleotide unclassified non-coding RNA is filed under the name uncultured Polyporales. RNAcentral's name for it is "sequence contains ITS1". Lineage: Eukaryota; Fungi; Basidiomycota; Agaricomycetes; Polyporales. The record is from RNAcentral.
UUGAGCCCUGCCCUCACGGGUAGACCUCCAACCCUGUGUAUUUAUACCUUUGUUGCUUCGGCAGGCCGAAACCUAGACGGCCUGGCUAUGGGCUUCGGCUCGUAAGCGCCUGCCAGAAGACAUUCAAACUCUGUAAUCAGUGUCGUCUGAGUAAAAAUUUAAUAAGUUA